AGCGAACGCUGGCGGCAGGCCUAACACAUGCAAGUCGAACGAACUCUUCGGAGUUAGUGGCGGACGGGUGAGUAACACGUGGGAACGUGCCUUUUGGCUCGGAAUAACUCAGGGAAACUUGUGCUAAUACCGAAUGUGCCCUUCUGGGGAAAGAUUUAACGCCAUUAGAGCGGCCCGCGUGGGAUUAGCUAGUUGGUGAGGUAACGGCGCACCAAGGCGACGCUCAGUAGCUGGUCAGAGAGGAUGACCAGCCACACUGGGACGGGGACACGGCCCAGACUCCUACGGGAGGCAGCAGUGGGGGAUCUUGCGCAAUGGGCGAAAGGCUGACGCAGCCAUGGUGGGUGAAUGAUGUAGGUCUGAGGGUAGUGAAAUUCUUUCACCGGGGACGAUAAUGACGGUACCCGGAGAAGAAGCCCCGGCUAACUUCGUG
RNAcentral lists this ribosomal RNA (433 nucleotides) under uncultured bacterium. RNAcentral describes it as "partial 16S ribosomal RNA". It matches the Rfam family "Bacterial small subunit ribosomal RNA", at positions 29 to 507 of the family's 1533-position model. The record is from RNAcentral.